UGACCACCACUCCUUCUGCAGUGGAGCGGCCGUGAUACGGGGCGGCAGCGUAGCCUAGUGGUUAGAGUGUAGAGGAGAUAGGUAGCCUAGUGGUUAGAGUGUAGAGAUGACAGGUAGUCUAGUGGUUAGAGUGUAGAGGUGGCAGGUAGCCUAGUGGUUAGAGUGUAGAGAUGACAGGUAGUCUUGUGGUUAGAGUGUAGAGGUGGUAGGUAGUCUAGUGGUUAGAAGGUAGAGGAGGCAGCGUAGCCUAGUGGUUAGAGUGUAGAGGUGGUAGGUAGUCUAGUGGUUAGAGUGUAGAGAUGACAGGUAGUCUUGUGGUUAGAGUGUAGAGGUGGCAGGUAGCCUAGUGUUUAGAGUGUAGAGGUGGCAGGUAGUCUAGUGGUUAGAGUGUAGAGGUGGCAGGUAGCCUAGUGGUUAGAGUGUAGAGGUGGCAGGUAGUCUAGUGGUUAGAGUGUAGAGGUGGCAGGUAGCCUAGUGGUUAGAGUGUAGAGAUGACAGGUAGUGUAGUGUUUAGAGUGUAGAGGUGGCAGGUAGUCUAGUGGUUAGAGUGUAGAGGUGGCAGGUGGUCUAGUGGUUAGAGUGUAGAGGUGGCAGGUAGCCUAGUGGUUAGAGUGUAGAGGUGGCAGGUAGCCUAGUGGUUAGAGUGUAGAGGUGGCAGGUGGUCUAGUGGUUAGAGUGUAGAGGUGGCAGGUAGUCUAGUGGUUAGAGUGUAGAGGUGGUAGGUAGUCUAGUGGUUAGAGUGUAGAGGUGGCAG
Molecule: long non-coding RNA, 754 nt
Filed under: Salmo salar (Atlantic salmon)
Lineage: Eukaryota; Metazoa; Chordata; Actinopteri; Salmoniformes; Salmonidae
Description: lncRNA (ENSSSAG00000105507.1)
Source: RNAcentral